UCCUACGGGAGGCAGCAGUGGGGAAUCUUAGACAAUGGGGGCAACCCUGAUCUAGCCAUGCCGCGUGAGUGAUGAAGGCCUUAGGGUCGUAAAGCUCUUUCGCCUGUGAUGAUAAUGACAGUAGCAGGUAAAGAAACCCCGGCUAACUCCGUGCCAGCAGCCGCGGUAAUACGGAGGGGGUUAGCGUUGUUCGGAAUUACUGGGCGUAAAGCGCGGGUAGGCGGAUUAGAAAGUUGGGGGUGAAAUCCCGGGGCUCAACCUCGGAACUGCCUCCAAAACUGCUAGUCUAGAGUUCGAGAGAGGUGAGUGGAAUUCCGAGUGUAGAGGUGAAAUUCGUAGAUAUUCGGAGGAACACCAGUGGCGAAGGCGGCUCACUGGCUCGAUACUGACGCUGAGGUGCGAAAGUGUGGGGAGCAAACAGGAUUAGAUACCCUGGUAGUCCACACCGUAAACGAUGAAUGCCAGUCGUCGGGUAGUAUACUAUUCGGUGACACACCUAACGGAUUA
RNAcentral lists this ribosomal RNA (507 nucleotides) under uncultured bacterium. RNAcentral describes it as "bacterial SSU rRNA". It matches the Rfam family "Bacterial small subunit ribosomal RNA", at positions 337 to 862 of the family's 1533-position model. The record is from RNAcentral.